This is a long non-coding RNA of Chinchilla lanigera (long-tailed chinchilla), 857 nucleotides long. RefSeq lists it as uncharacterized. The transcript is spliced from 2 exons. Lineage: Eukaryota; Metazoa; Chordata; Mammalia; Rodentia; Chinchillidae. The record is from RefSeq and is a predicted model, not a curated record.
UUGAGCUUGCCAGGCAGGUGCUGCGCUGCUGAGCUAAAUCCCCAGCCCCAUUACCCAACUCUUGCAGGCCCUCUGUUGCUGGGUGCCUUAUUCAUAAGCUUAACUCUUUAAUUUCUCCCACUCCCCAAGAAGUAGCCCUUAUUGCCUUUGGGAGGAGUGAAGAUUGGAUCUAACUUCAAGCUAAGAAGGGUUGGUAUAGGAAACAGCAGUCCAGAGGGCUUUUUCCAGAGAGUUAAUGUAAGGGGCUUGGAUAGAAGUCGUGUUGGGGUUUAGUAGUUACAUGUGGACUCUUCAGAGAGUCAGUCUAGUGGAUCUUGAUAAAAGGAUUUUGCCAUGUUCAUUGUUGGCUCUAUCUGCAUGACCAUUUGGAGUUUGACAUAAGCAGCUUUAGCUCGAGUCAUCAGUGUAAGGUGUUUCUCUAAGUCUGCAUCUUUGACGGCCUGUACGCUCAGUUAAUCUCAGACCUCAGUGUGACCUCCAGUGAUGUUAGACAAACCGAGCUCGUGGUCAUUCUCAACCAAGUCAAGGAAUGAAAUCGAAAACUGAAAGAGUUUUUAUUGGAAAUAAGAAUGGCUUCUGGAUUUCUAGAUGAUGUCCACAUCGCUGACCACACCUGCCUUUCCCUCAGAUGCAUCUCUUCUGGAAAGGCUUCCUGAUCCUUCUACCCGAGAAUCAGUUGAAUCUGUUGUACCUGGUGUGUGGCCCACAAACUGGGCCCUUCUGCAUGCAGCAUGUUAACAGGAUACUCACAGAAGGAGACGUCAUAAAGGGGUUUCCAACACGUGCAAUUGGGGAACUGAUCUAAUACAGUAAACCAUAAAAUUUAAUACUCUUCAAUAAAUCAAAAGGUAGACACA